UCUCUCAUGAAUCUAAGUAAAAAAGGGGGUUCAGGUCAAAAAGUGGCCAAACUAAAUUGCUUGUAAAUCGAUUAUUAGCUUAUUGAAAAUAUUAAAGCAUUUUACGGAAGAAAUACUCAGUUAGGAUUCCGGUCGACCUAGUCCAAAUGGGCAAGUCUUUUGUUUGAAGCCUCUCAUUAGAUUUUGUACAGUCAUCUUAUCCACUUUCUUCGUCGCAGAACGUCAGAACUGAUUCUCGCUUGUCAACAGUUUUUUGGGUCUUCUAAAAGUUCUGCUCAACUAUCGCCAAAAAUAUUUCGUUUGGACGAAAUUGGGAGGAUUCUUAUCCUUGGGCACAACCUGAAUACACGGAGAAAAAAGUCGAAAGUUGUUCCAAUUAUUUCAGCUAAUUAUACCAAUCAUCAAGGUGUAGUUGAUUUUUUCGCAUUCAACUAUAAAUAUAAAAGGUUCAACAACAAAUUGCUGAUUGUCCUUACGCAAUCAACUACAAAUAUAGUAGAUUCAACUGUAAUUGAUUCAAAUAUAAAUAUGAUAAAUUCAACUACAAUCGUAUGAUUUAUUUUAGGCAUUCAACUAUACUUAUAAUAGAAUCAACUACACCCUGUUGAUAAUUAAUUCCACUCUAAACAGAAUAGAUUCAAUUACGAUUGUACAAUUGAUAUUAAACAUUCAACUCAUAAAUAUAAUAAUUUCUAUUACUUUUAUGAUUAAUUGCAUCAAACUUUAUUUUAACCAACAUUUGAGUAUAGUUGCGCAUGAGUGCAGAGAAAAACAGAAAAAAAACGGCGAUAAAUUCAAUUCUCGUUAACGUGAAACCCGCGGGAAAUAUUUUUCCGAAACCGCUAUCGCUUAACCGUUUCCAAUCCACCAAGGAUUCCUGUGUGUAUUCUCCUGGCAGCGGUUGUGGUGCUCGACCAGCACUUGGCCUCGUUUGGAAACCGCAACUGUCCACAAAUCCGGCAGAAUAGAAAUUUGUUCAAAGGGGUAGCCGAAACCGAUGGGAACCUCAACCUCAGCUGACCGUUCGAAAGAUUCUAGAAAAGUCCUCCAACGAAACUCCCAGUCUAAGAAAACAGGCUACAAUAAACGGCCGGCGACUUCAGCGGCAUGGAAAAACUCAAUUCUACUCGGAGCAAGACGGCGGAAGCUAGACAUGGCCUCAAACAAUUUCACCGGGAACAAUCGAACGAUGCUACUAAUCUGUCAGGGACGUCAAGUGUGCUGAUUAUUGGGAGCUUAACUCGGCCAGCAAAGUAUUUCCCUGGGAUCACUGCCGACUUACCGGAACCUGGGAUUUUGUCACUGGGAUCGAUUGACAAGAGACCACACCUGACGUCCUAUACGGUCCCCCGAAACGCUGCUCGUCGAAUAGCAUAAAUGUUGGUUGCCCGUUCACCGAUAAAGCCCAAAAAAAUACGCCGGCUUUCUUUCGUUCUACCUACCCUGUUGCUGAGAUCGGUGGGCUUUCCGGCUGGGAAGUAAUCAGCAGUAGCAGGACAAACAAUUCGGAUCAAAAUGCAGUUGUAUUCCUGUAAAUUUACCACCACCACCCGAUGGCAGUUUCUUUGGUCGGUUUCGGGCGGAGGCUGAACGUUGAACGGGCCAGAAAUAAAAUUUUGUUUUGUGUAAAUAGUGUGAAAAACCAAUAAAAAUAAAAUAUAAUUGGAAUAACCGCUAGAACCGACUAGAAAGCAAACAAUAAAUAUGAUGGCUUCCAAAACAAACAUUUGUUGAAUCUACAAUAUCUAUA
Long non-coding RNA from Uranotaenia lowii, 1750 nucleotides. RefSeq lists it as uncharacterized. The transcript has 3 exons. The record is from RefSeq and is a predicted model, not a curated record. NCBI's taxonomy places the organism in Eukaryota, Metazoa, Arthropoda, Insecta, Diptera, Culicidae.